This is a long non-coding RNA of Brassica napus (rape), 708 nucleotides long. RefSeq lists it as uncharacterized. The record is from RefSeq and is a predicted model, not a curated record. The transcript is spliced from 2 exons. NCBI's taxonomy places the organism in Eukaryota, Viridiplantae, Streptophyta, Magnoliopsida, Brassicales, Brassicaceae.
ACAUCAGCAACACUUCAAGGUUUUAUCAUAUUUAUAUGACUUGGUAGUAAAGAAAUCUUGAACGUUACUUUUUUUCCUUUCCAAAGUUUUUUCACACAACUAUAUGGCAAGUUGAGCUCUACGAGGUUCUUCGGAUCAAAACAUUGCGGCAAAGAGCUUAGAGGAUAAUAUUCCCAGUGCAGAAGCCUUAGCUUGCUCGGCAAGUAUUCAAGACCUUGAGCUGCGACAUGUCCAGGAAAAUCCCCUCGAUAGCUGAUGUGCCCUGGAAACGACCAAGAGCAAUAAAGUUAACCAGCAAUAAGAAACAAUUUAGCCAGAAAGAACAGCACAUUAAGAGGACAAAGACUUUACAGUGUUAUCUACGAAGACGUCCAUAAAAUCUUUGGAAUUGCACAGCCUGCUCCGGUCUCCAGGCCUGUCCACUGAUUCUUGGCGAACAAUUUCUCGACCUGUUGCCUGGAGAAAUCGAAGCAUAUCCACCAUCUUAUGUGAUAUGGUUAACAAUGAUUUCUCAACAAGACUUUUAAACCCAAUGUGUGUAGAGAAACCACAACUAUCAAGCAACACUGCAAUGUCGGCUUUAUCAAUCCUUUUAAAGAAACAUGCAAUGUCCAAAAAUAUACUUCUCUCAUUGUCAUCAAGCCCACAGCAGCUUCCUUCAAAUAUACCUGGAAUGUAAAUGGGAGAUGUUUCUUGAACUUGUUCUGA